CCUACGGGAGGCAGCAGUUUCGAAUCAUUCACAAUGGGCGAAAGCCUGAUGGUGCGACGCCGCGUGAGGGAUGAAGGUCUUCGGAUUGUAAACCUCUGUCACCGGGGAAGAAACGCUAUACGAUAAUAUCGGAUAGCCUGACUUAACCCGGAGAGGAAGCAGUGGCUAACUCUGUGCCAGCAGCCGCGGUAAU
RNAcentral lists this ribosomal RNA (193 nucleotides) under uncultured bacterium. Its description in RNAcentral is "partial 16S ribosomal RNA". It matches the Rfam family "Bacterial small subunit ribosomal RNA", at positions 338 to 524 of the family's 1533-position model. The record is from RNAcentral.